GGGGAGGUAGCCAAGUGGUAAGGCAGAGGCCUGCAAAGCCUCCAUUCGCCGGUUCGAUUCCGGUCCUCCCCU
This 72-nucleotide transfer RNA is filed under the name Chlamydiia bacterium. RNAcentral's name for it is "tRNA-Cys". It matches the Rfam family "tRNA". From Rfam's summary of the family: Transfer RNA (tRNA) molecules are approximately 80 nucleotides in length. Lineage: Bacteria; Pseudomonadati; Chlamydiota; Chlamydiia. The record is from RNAcentral.